GGGUUGUGAGGUUAAGCGACUAAGCGUACACGGUGGAUGCCCUGGCAGUCAGAGGCGAUGAAGGRCGUGCUAAUCUGCGAUAAGCGCCGGUAAGGUGAUAUGAACCGUUAUAACCGGCGAUWYCCGAAUGGGGAAACCCAGUGUGACUCGUCACACUAUCAUUAACUGAAUCCAUAGGUUAAUGAGGCGAACCGGGGGAACUGAAACAUCUAAGUACCCCGAGGAAAAGAAAUCAACCGAGAUUCCCCCAGUAGCGGCGAGCGAACGGGGAGGAGCCCAGAGCCUGAAUCAGCAUGUGUGUUAGUGGAAGCGUCUGGAAAGGCGCGCGAUACAGGGUGACAGCCCCGUACACAAAAGCGCAUGUGCUGUGAG
RNAcentral lists this ribosomal RNA (372 nucleotides) under Salmonella enterica subsp. enterica serovar Heidelberg. RNAcentral describes it as "bacterial LSU rRNA". It matches the Rfam family "Bacterial large subunit ribosomal RNA", at positions 1 to 400 of the family's 2925-position model. The record is from RNAcentral. Lineage: Bacteria; Pseudomonadati; Pseudomonadota; Gammaproteobacteria; Enterobacterales; Enterobacteriaceae.